GAAGGGGGCGAGCGUUGUUCGGAUUUACUGGGCGUAAAGGGCGCGCAGGCGGCUAUCUUUGUCAGGCGUGAAAGCCCCGGGCUUAACCUGGGAAUGGCGCUUGGGACGGGGUGGCUAGAGAUCGGGAGAGGAGAGUGGAAUUCCCAGUGUAGAGGUGAAAUUCGUAGAUAUUGGGAAGAACACCGGUGGCGAAGGCGGCUCUCUGGACCGAUACUGACGCUGAGGCGCGAAAGCGUGGGGAGCAAACAGGAUUAGAUACCCUGGUAGUCCACGCUGUAAACGAUGUGUGCUAGACGCUGGGGAGCCUAGCUCUUCGGUGUCGCAGCUAACGCUUUAAGCACACCGCCUGGGGAGUACGGCCGCAAGGUUA
RNAcentral lists this ribosomal RNA (370 nucleotides) under uncultured bacterium. Its description in RNAcentral is "bacterial SSU rRNA". It matches the Rfam family "Bacterial small subunit ribosomal RNA", at positions 527 to 896 of the family's 1533-position model. The record is from RNAcentral.